Betta splendens (Siamese fighting fish) is the source of this 1112-nucleotide long non-coding RNA. RefSeq lists it as uncharacterized. The record is from RefSeq and is a predicted model, not a curated record. Lineage: Eukaryota; Metazoa; Chordata; Actinopteri; Anabantiformes; Osphronemidae. The transcript has 4 exons.
AGGCGCCGUGGGUUCUGUUCCAGUUUGGUCUUCUUUGUACUUGUGAUGUCACUUCCUGUCUGUGUCUGGUCCAAUCACUGUCAUUCCUCACACCUGUUACAGGUUGGUUGGUUUGAUCAGUUUCAUCACAUCUCUGUUACCCAGUCUGUGGCUCCGUGUCCCUCCAUGUUGCCUGUUGCCAUCUAACUUCUGGUUACUGGUUGGACAAAUGGGAAAUGCCAAGAGCUCCCUCCGGUGGAGCGUAUGUGUAACAGCAGGUCUUGUGAUAAGGAUGAUAACGGAGGGGGUCUGGGCCAUGGCUCCAAUCAUGCUGCACAAACAGAUGACACACAGGAAGGUGAGGAAGGCCUGCUGACAGCCCGGCGUGGGACACUUUCCUGGUAAAGCCACUGCGUCCUCGCUGCUGCUGGACACGCACGAGCAGCCGGUCAGGUUCUGGUGCAAAGACAAGGAGCGGAGCAGAGUUGGGUCACUGCCGCGCCUCCGCUCAGUGGCCAGCCUGCAAUGCGCUCUCCACCCACUCACUGGUGUGGUGCAGCCGGCGAAGCAGGCCGAGAGAGGAAGGACCACCCACUCCAGCAGAGUCUCAUCCCUGCAGCCACAGGAGUGACCCGGACAAUCACUGGAGACAACCCAUGUAUGUUGUUCGGGUUCCACACGCUGGACCUUCUGUUUGGUUUGGACCCUGCUGCCGGUCCUCCCUCCGCCUGCCCAGUCUGGACUCACACUGGUGAUUGCUGGGGACCGUCUGCAUCCUGACUGAGUCUCUCCCCUCACCUGGGCCUUUGUACUUAUACCCUACUUCAUAUCCUACUUCAAGACCCUGUGGUCAUUGAAUUCUUACUUGAAUCCUUUUUUUUUGUUUUGUCCUUUCCAUUCAGUGUGUUAACUGUGAUCUGUGGUGGCUCAGUUAGUAGAGCGUUGUCUUAGGGAGUGGAAGGUGCCUGGUCCCUGAGUGGAAGGUCCACCAGAGCACUUGAGUAAGACACUGCACACGGGCGCCGCACUGUGGCUGCCCACUGCUCCCCUCAGUGGACGGGUAAAAAUAAAAGAGAGUAAAAAGAGUCAUUGUGGAAUCAAUAAAGUUCUAUUAUUAUUAUUAUUUUUUAUUA